GGCCGUUUAGCUCAGUGGACAGAGCGUCUCCGUCCUAAGGAGAGCGUCGGGGGUUCGAUUCCUCUAACGGCCACCA
Molecule: transfer RNA, 76 nt
Filed under: Candidatus Hippobium faecium
Lineage: Bacteria; Bacillati; Armatimonadota
Description: tRNA-Arg
Rfam family: tRNA
About the family: Transfer RNA (tRNA) molecules are approximately 80 nucleotides in length.
Source: RNAcentral